This 484-nucleotide ribosomal RNA is filed under the name uncultured bacterium. Its description in RNAcentral is "partial 16S ribosomal RNA". It matches the Rfam family "Bacterial small subunit ribosomal RNA", at positions 29 to 507 of the family's 1533-position model. The record is from RNAcentral.
AUUGAACGCUGGCGGCAUGCUUUACACAUGCAAGUCGAACGGCAGCGCGGGCUUCGGCCUGGCGGCGAGUGGCGAACGGGUGAGUAAUGCAUCGGAACGUGCCCAGUAGUGGGGGAUAGCCCGGCGAAAGCCGGAUUAAUACCGCAUACGACCUGAGGGUGAAAGCGGGGGACCGAAAGGCCUCGCGCUAUUGGAGCGGCCGAUGUCGGAUUAGCUAGUUGGUGGGGUAAAGGCUUACCAAGGCGACGAUCCGUAGCUGGUCUGAGAGGACGACCAGCCACACUGGGACUGAGACACGGCCCAGACUCCUACGGGAGGCAGCAGUGGGGAAUUUUGGACAAUGGGGGCAAGCCUGAUCCAGCCAUGCCGCGUGCGGGAAGAAGGCCUUCGGGUUGUAAACCGCUUUUGUUCGGGAAGAAAUACUCUGGGCUAAUACCCCGGGGGGAUGACGGUACCGGAAGAAUAAGCACCGGCUAACUACGUG